Molecule: non-coding RNA, 45 nt
Filed under: Schistosoma margrebowiei
Lineage: Eukaryota; Metazoa; Platyhelminthes; Trematoda; Strigeidida; Schistosomatidae
Source: RNAcentral
AUUCAGCCGAUGAGUCUCAAAUAGGAUGAAACACGUGUCCUGAAU